UUCCGGUUGAUCCCGCCGGAGGUUACUGCUUUCGAGAUUCGACUAAGCUAUGCGAGUCGAAUGUUCUUCGUGAACAUGGCGGACUGCUCAGUAACACGUGGACAACCUACCCUUGGGUCUGGCAUAAUCCUGGGAAACUGGGUAUAAUUCCAGAUAGGUCACAGAUGCUGGAAUGCACUGUGGCCGAAAGCUCCGGCGCCCAAGGAUGGGUCUGCGGCCUAUCAGGGUUGUAGUGGGUGUAACGGACCUACUAGCCUACGACGGGUACGGGUUGUGAGAGCAAGAGCCCGGAGAUGGAUUCUGAGACACGAAUCCAGGCCCUACGGGGUGCAGCAGGCGCGAAAACUUUACAAUGCGGGAAACCGUGAUAAGGGAAUCUCGAGUGCCACCAUAUAAUGUUGGCUGUCCAGAUGCCUAAAAAGCAUCUGUUACCAAGGGCCGGGCAAUACCGGUGCCAGCCGCCGCGGUUACACCGGCCGCCCGAGUUGGUAACCGCUUUUAUUG
This 504-nucleotide ribosomal RNA is filed under the name uncultured archaeon. Its description in RNAcentral is "bacterial SSU rRNA". It matches the Rfam family "Archaeal small subunit ribosomal RNA", at positions 1 to 506 of the family's 1478-position model. The record is from RNAcentral.